Molecule: ribosomal RNA, 208 nt
Filed under: uncultured bacterium
Lineage: Bacteria
Description: partial 16S ribosomal RNA
Rfam family: Bacterial small subunit ribosomal RNA
Source: RNAcentral
UGCGUAGGUGGCGAGGUAAGUCGGAUGUGAAAGCUCGGAGCUCAACUCCGAAAUGGCAUUGGAAACUACCUUGCUCGAGGGUUGGAGGGGGGACGUGGAAUACUUGGUGUAGCAGUGAAAUGCGUAGAUAUCAAGUAGAACACCAGUGGCGAAGGCGAGUCCCUGGACAACUCCUGACACUGAGGCACGAAAGCUAGGGGAGCAAACA